GAUGAACGCUGGCGGCGUGCCUAAUACAUGCAAGUCGAGCGAACGGACGAGAAGCUUGCUUCUCUGAUGUUAGCGGCGGACGGGUGAGUAACACGUGGAUAACCUACCUAUAAGACUGGGAUAACUUCGGGAAACCGGAGCUAAUACCGGAUGAUAUUUUGAACCGCAUGGUUCAAAAGUGAAAGACGGUCUUGCUGUCACUUAUAGAUGGAUCCGCGCUGCAUUAGCUAGUUGGUAAGGUAACGGGUUACCAAGGCAACGAUGCAUAGCCGACCUGAGAGGGUGAUCGGCCACACUGGAACUGAGACACGGUCCAGACUCCUACGGGAGGCAGCAGUAGGGAAUCUUCCGCAAUGGGCGAAAGCCUGACGGAGCAACGCCGCGUGAGUGAUGAAGGUCUUCGGAUCGUAAAACUCUGUUAUUAGGGAAGAACAUAUGUGUAAGUAACUGUGCACAUCUUGACGGUACCUAAUCAGAAAGCCACGGCUAACUACGUG
RNAcentral lists this ribosomal RNA (497 nucleotides) under uncultured bacterium. RNAcentral's name for it is "partial 16S ribosomal RNA". It matches the Rfam family "Bacterial small subunit ribosomal RNA", at positions 28 to 507 of the family's 1533-position model. The record is from RNAcentral.